UGGCUUAGUGGUAGAGUGCUUGCCUCACAUGCAUGAGGCCCUGGGUUUGAUUCCUGG
Molecule: transfer RNA, 57 nt
Filed under: Dipodomys ordii (Ord's kangaroo rat)
Lineage: Eukaryota; Metazoa; Chordata; Mammalia; Rodentia; Heteromyidae
Rfam family: tRNA
About the family: Transfer RNA (tRNA) molecules are approximately 80 nucleotides in length. Their secondary structure includes four short double-helical elements and three loops (D, anti-codon, and T loops). Further hydrogen bonds mediate the characteristic L-shaped molecular structure. tRNAs have two regions of fundamental functional importance: the anti-codon, which is responsible for specific mRNA codon recognition, and the 3' end, to which the tRNAs corresponding amino acid is attached (by aminoacyl-tRNA synthetases). tRNAs cope with the degeneracy of the genetic code in two manners: having more than one tRNA (with a specific anti-codon) for a particular amino acid; and 'wobble' base-pairing, i.e. permitting non-standard base-pairing at the 3rd anti-codon position.
Source: Rfam by way of RNAcentral